AAUUUUGGGCAAUGGGCGCAAUCCUGAUCUAGCCAUGCCGCGUGAGGUAAGAAGGCCUCCGGGUUGCAAAACCCUUUCUGACGGCAAAAAAUCGCGCAGGCUAAUACCCUGCGCGUAUGACGGUACCGUCAUUAGAAGCACCGGCUACCUACGUGCCACCCGCCGCGGUAAUACGUAGGGUGGGCACGUUAAUCGGAAUUAAUGGGCGUAAAGCGUGCGCAGGCGGUUGAUUAAGACAGGCGUGAAAUCCCCGGGCUUAACCUGGGACCUGCGCUUGUGACUGGUCAGCUAGAGUACGGCAGAGGGGGGUGGAAUUCCACGUGUAGCAGUGAAAUGCGUAGAGAUGUGGAGGAACACCGAUGGCGAAGGCAGCCCCCUGGGCCGAUACUGACGCUCAUGCACGAAAGCGUGGGUAGCAAACAGG
RNAcentral lists this ribosomal RNA (424 nucleotides) under uncultured bacterium. Its description in RNAcentral is "partial 16S ribosomal RNA". It matches the Rfam family "Bacterial small subunit ribosomal RNA", at positions 360 to 776 of the family's 1533-position model. The record is from RNAcentral.